CCUACGGGGGGCUGCAGUGGGGAAUAUUGGACAAUGGGGGGAACCCUGACCCAGCCAUGCCGCGUGUGUGAAGAAGGCCCUCGGGUUGUAAAGCACUUUCAGUGAGGAAGAACGCCUGGUGGUUAAUACCCAUCAGGAAAGACAUCACUCACAGAAGAAGCACCGGCUAACUCCGUGCCAGCAGCCGCGGUAAUACGGAGGGUGCGAGCGUUAAUCGGAAUUACUGGGCGUAAAGCGCGCGUAGGUGGCUUGAUAAGCCGGUUGUGAAAGCCCCGGGCUCAACCUGGGAACGGCAUCCGGAACUGUCAAGCUAGAGUGCAGGAGAGGAAGGUAGAAUUCCCGGUGUAGCGGUGAAAUGCGUAGAGAUCGGGAGGAAUACCAGUGGCGAAGGCGGCCUUCUGGACUGACACUGACACUGAGGUGCGAAAGCGUGGGUAGCAAACAGGAUUAGAUACCCGGGUAGUC
This 465-nucleotide ribosomal RNA is filed under the name Vreelandella stevensii. RNAcentral's name for it is "partial 16S ribosomal RNA". It matches the Rfam family "Bacterial small subunit ribosomal RNA", at positions 338 to 795 of the family's 1533-position model. Lineage: Bacteria; Pseudomonadati; Pseudomonadota; Gammaproteobacteria; Oceanospirillales; Halomonadaceae. The record is from RNAcentral.